UAGAGUUUGAUCAUGGCUCAGGACGAACGCUGGCGGCGUGCCUAAUACAUGCAAGUCGAACGCUUCUUUUUCCACCGGAGCUUGCUCCACCGGAAAAAGAGGAGUGGCGAACGGGUGAGUAACACGUGGGUAACCUGCCCAUCAGAAGGGGAUAACACUUGGAAACAGGUGCUAAUACCGUAUAACAAUCGAAACCGCAUGGUUUUGAUUUGAAAGGCGCUUUCGGGUGUCGCUGAUGGAUGGACCCGCGGUGCAUUAGCUAGUUGGUGAGGUAACGGCUCACCAAGGCGACGAUGCAUAGCCGACCUGAGAGGGUGAUCGGCCACAUUGGGACUGAGACACGGCCCAAACUCCUACGGGAGGCAGCAGUAGGGAAUCUUCGGCAAUGGACGAAAGUCUGACCGAGCAACGCCGCGUGAGUGAAGAAGGUUUUCGGAUCGUAAAACUCUGUUGUUAGAGAAGAACAAGGAUGAGAGUAACUGUUCAUCCCUUGACGGUAUCUAACCAGAAAGCCACGGCUAACUACGUGCCAGCAGCCGCGGUAAUACGUAGGUGGCAAGCGUUGUCCGGAUUUAUUGGGCGUAAAGCGAGCGCAGGCGGUUUCUUAAGUCUGAUGUGAAAGCCCCCGGCUCAACCGGGGAGGGUCAUUGGAAACUGGGAGACUUGAGUGCAGAAGAGGAGAGUGGAAUUCCAUGUGUAGCGGUGAAAUGCGUAGAUAUAUGGAGGAACACCAGUGGCGAAGGCGGCUCUCUGGUCUGUAACUGACGCUGAGGCUCGAAAGCGUGGGGAGCAAACAGGAUUAGAUACCCUGGUAGUCCACGCCGUAAACGAUGAGUGCUAAGUGUUGGAGGGUUUCCGCCCUUCAGUGCUGCAGCUAACGCAUUAAGCACUCCGCCUGGGGAGUACGACCGCAAGGUUGAAACUCAAAGGAAUUGACGGGGGCCCGCACAAGCGGUGGAGCAUGUGGUUUAAUUCGAAGCAACGCGAAGAACCUUACCAGGUCUUGACAUCCUUUGACCACUCUAGAGAUAGAGCUUCCCCUUCGGGGGCAAAGUGACAGGUGGUGCAUGGUUGUCGUCAGCUCGUGUCGUGAGAUGUUGGGUUAAGUCCCGCAACGAGCGCAACCCUUAUUGUUAGUUGCCAUCAUUUAGUUGGGCACUCUAGCAAGACUGCCGGUGACAAACCGGAGGAAGGUGGGGAUGACGUCAAAUCAUCAUGCCCCUUAUGACCUGGGCUACACACGUGCUACAAUGGGAAGUACAACGAGUCGCAAAGUCGCGAGGCUAAGCUAAUCUCUUAAAGCUUCUCUCAGUUCGGAUUGUAGGCUGCAACUCGCCUACAUGAAGCCGGAAUCGCUAGUAAUCGCGGAUCAGCACGCCGCGGUGAAUACGUUCCCGGGCCUUGUACACACCGCCCGUCACACCACGAGAGUUUGUAACACCCGAAGUCGGUGAGGUAACCUUUUGGAGCCAGCCGCCUAAGGUGGGAUAGAUGAUUGGGGUGAAGUCGUAACAAGGUAGCCGUAUCGGAAGGUGCGGUUGGAUCACCUCCUUA
Molecule: ribosomal RNA, 1554 nt
Filed under: Enterococcus hirae
Lineage: Bacteria; Bacillati; Bacillota; Bacilli; Lactobacillales; Enterococcaceae
Description: bacterial SSU rRNA
Rfam family: Bacterial small subunit ribosomal RNA
Source: RNAcentral